GAUGAACGCUAGCGGCAGGCCUAACACAUGCAAGUCGAGGGGUAACAUAGGAAAGCUUGCUUUUCUGAUGACGACCGGCGCACGGGUGCGUAACGCGUAUACAACCUACCUUUUAGCGGGGAAUAGCCCAGGGAAACUUGGAUUAAUGCCCCAUAGUAUAUAGACUUCUCCUGAAGUUUAUAUUAAACAUUUAUGGCUAUUAGAUGGGUAUGCGUCCUAUUAGUUAGUUGGUAAGGUAACGGCUUACCAAGGCAGCGAUAGGUAGGGGUCCUGAGAGGGAGAUCCCCACACUGGUACUGAGACACGGACCAGACUCCUACGGGAGGCAGCAGUGAGGAAUAUUGGACAAUGGGCGAGGGCCUGAUCCAGCCAUGCCGCGUGCAGGAAGACUGCCCUAUGGGUUGUAAACUGCUUUUACAGAGGAAGAACCACCCCCACGUGUGGGGGUUUGACGGUACUCUGCGAAUAAGGAUCGGCUAACUCCGUG
RNAcentral lists this ribosomal RNA (487 nucleotides) under uncultured bacterium. Its description in RNAcentral is "bacterial SSU rRNA". It matches the Rfam family "Bacterial small subunit ribosomal RNA", at positions 28 to 507 of the family's 1533-position model. The record is from RNAcentral.